GGGAGAUUAAAGCUCAAUGACAGUGGUUCCUGUAAGUCAGGGUUGAUAGGGAACAAGUUGCACUGUCCAUGUUGCGCCAUCAGCUGAUCCACGAGAACCAAGGCUACAAUGGCUUCCACCAUCGGCAGCUCUGCAUCGUCCAAAUCAAA
This is a long non-coding RNA of Hibiscus syriacus, 149 nucleotides long. RefSeq lists it as uncharacterized. NCBI's taxonomy places the organism in Eukaryota, Viridiplantae, Streptophyta, Magnoliopsida, Malvales, Malvaceae. The record is from RefSeq and is a predicted model, not a curated record. The transcript is spliced from 4 exons.